AACGAACGCUGGCGGCAUGCCUAACACAUGCAAGUCGAACGCUCGUCUUCGGACGGGAGUGGCGCACGGGUGAGUAACGCGUGGGAACCUGCCCCGAGGUGGGGGAUAACCCGGCGAAAGCCGGGCUAAUACCGCAUACGUCCUGAGGGAGAAAGAUUGAUCGCCUUGGGAGGGGCCCGCGUCGGAUUAGGUAGUUGGUGGGGUAACGGCCUACCAAGCCGGUGAUCCGUAGCUGGUCUGAGAGGANGGCCAGCCACACUGGGACUGAGACACGGCCCAGACUCCUACGGGAGGCAGCAGUGGGGAAUAUUGGACAAUGGGCGCAAGCCUGAUCCAGCAAUGCCGCGUGAGUGAUGAAGGCCUUAGGGUUGUAAAGCUCUUUCGCCCGCGACGAUGAUGACGGUAGCGGGAGAAGAAGCCCCGGCUAACUUCGUGCCAGCAGCCGCAGUAAC
This 452-nucleotide ribosomal RNA is filed under the name uncultured bacterium. RNAcentral describes it as "bacterial SSU rRNA". It matches the Rfam family "Bacterial small subunit ribosomal RNA", at positions 28 to 524 of the family's 1533-position model. The record is from RNAcentral.